This 23-nucleotide non-coding RNA is filed under the name Gossypium hirsutum (cotton). The record is from RNAcentral. Lineage: Eukaryota; Viridiplantae; Streptophyta; Magnoliopsida; Malvales; Malvaceae.
GCACGUCUGCCUGGGUGUCACGC